CCUAAGACAUGCAAGUCGAACGAAGGGACCCAAUGAGAUUUAUAGAAGUUUGGAGAGCUUGCUCAAAGAAUGGAAUAAAUCAAUUUGGAUCAUCCCUUAGUGGCAAACGGGUGAGUAACACGUGGGUUACCUGCCUUCAAGAUGGGGGAUAACAGUUGGAAACGAUUGCUAAUACCGAAUGUGAUCUACGGAUUAAAGAAGCCUUUAAAGCUUCGCUUGAAGAUGGGCCUGCGGUGCAUUAGCUAGUUGGUGAGGUAACGGCCCACCAAGGCGACGAUGCAUAGCCGAACUGAGAGGUUAAUCGGCCACAUUGGGACUGAGACACGGCCCAAACUCCUACGGGAGACAGCAGUUAGGAAUAUUCGUCAAUGGAGGAAACUCUGAACGAGCAAUGCCGCGUGAGUGAUGAAGGUCUUAUAGAUUGUAAAACUCUGUUGUAUGGAAAAAACGACUAGGUUAGGAAAUGAACUUAGUGUGAUGGUACCAUACCAGAAAGCCCCGGCUAACUACGUG
Molecule: ribosomal RNA, 513 nt
Filed under: uncultured bacterium
Lineage: Bacteria
Description: bacterial SSU rRNA
Rfam family: Bacterial small subunit ribosomal RNA
Source: RNAcentral